This 467-nucleotide ribosomal RNA is filed under the name Coryogalops anomolus (anomolous goby). Its description in RNAcentral is "partial 12S ribosomal RNA". It matches the Rfam family "Bacterial small subunit ribosomal RNA", at positions 868 to 1527 of the family's 1533-position model. The record is from RNAcentral. Lineage: Eukaryota; Metazoa; Chordata; Actinopteri; Gobiiformes; Gobiidae.
UUCGCCAGAGGACAACGAGCCACAGCUUAAAACUCAAAGGACUUGGCGGCGCUUUAAACCCCCCUAGAGGAGCCUGUUCUAGAAUCGAUUCUCCCCGUUAAACCUUACCCUCCCUUGUUAACCCCGCCUAUAUACCGCCGUCGCCAGCUUACCCUGUGAAGGACCAAAAGUAAGCACAAUUGGCAUAGCCCAAAACGGCAGGUCAACGUGUAGCGUAUGAGAGGGAAAGAAAUGGGCUACAUUUGCUGACACAGCAAAUACGGAUCUUGCAAUGAAACAAGCAAUUGAAGGAGGAUUUAGUAGUAAGGGGAGAAUAGAGCGCCCCCCUGAAAACGGCCCUGAAGCACGCACACACCGCCCGUCACUCUCCCCGCUCAAUAACUAACAAAUAAAUAAUAACUAUUACUGCAUCAAGGGGAGGCAAGUCGUAACAUGGUAAGUAUACCGGAAGGUGUACUUGGACAACC